GAUGAACGCUAGCGGCAGGCUUAAUACGUGCAAGUCGUGGGGCAGCAGGACUGUAGCAAUACAGUUGCUGGCGACCGGCAAACGGGUGCGGAACACGUACGCAACUUACCCUGAACUGGGGGAUAGCCCGGGGAAACCCGGAUUAAUACCCCGUAAUAUAAUGGAGUGGCAUCACUUUAUUAUUAAAGCUCCGGCGGUUCGGGAUGGGCGUGCGGCUGAUUAGGUAGUUGGUUGAGGUAACGGCUCACCAAGCCUACGAUCAGUAACCGGUGUGAGAGCACGACCACUCAUACGGGCACUGAGACACGGGCCCGACUCCUACGGGAGGCAGCAGUAAGGAAUAUUGGGCAAUGGAGGCGACUCUGACCCAGCCAUGCCGCGUGGAGUAUGAAGGCCCUCUGUGUUGUAAGCUUCUUUUAUAGUUGACGAAACCUGUGUAUUCUUACGCAGUUGACGGUACCCUAGGAAUAAGCACCGGCUAACUCCGUG
RNAcentral lists this ribosomal RNA (489 nucleotides) under uncultured bacterium. RNAcentral describes it as "partial 16S ribosomal RNA". It matches the Rfam family "Bacterial small subunit ribosomal RNA", at positions 28 to 507 of the family's 1533-position model. The record is from RNAcentral.